This 428-nucleotide ribosomal RNA is filed under the name uncultured archaeon. Its description in RNAcentral is "bacterial SSU rRNA". It matches the Rfam family "Archaeal small subunit ribosomal RNA", at positions 474 to 903 of the family's 1478-position model. The record is from RNAcentral.
CACCAGCCCCUCGAGUGGUGGGGAUGAUUAUUUGGCCUAAAGCGUCCGUAGCCGGCCGGGUAAGUUUCCCGUUAAAUCCAGCGUCUCAAGCGUUGGACUGCGGGAAAUACUGUCUGGCUAGAGAGUGGGAGAGGUCAGCGGUAUUCUGGGGGUAGGGGCGAAAUCCUUUGAUCCCCGGAGGACCACCAGUGGCGAAGGCUGCUGACUAGAACACGUCUGACGGUCAGGGACGAAAGCUGGGGUAGCGAACCGGAUUAGAUACCCGGGUAGUCCCAGCCGUAAACGAUGCAUGCUAGGUGUUGGGUUGGCCACGAGCCACCCCAGUGCCGCAGGGAAGCCGUUAAGCAUGCCGCCUGGGAAGUACGAUCGCAAGAUUGAAACUUAAGGAAUUGGCGGGGGAGCACCACCAGGCGUGAAGCCUGCGGUUU